Long non-coding RNA from Thalassophryne amazonica, 297 nucleotides. RefSeq lists it as uncharacterized. The transcript has 4 exons. Lineage: Eukaryota; Metazoa; Chordata; Actinopteri; Batrachoidiformes; Batrachoididae. The record is from RefSeq and is a predicted model, not a curated record.
UGUACUCUUCUCUUCAACAUGGUGAUGUUUGUGUCUAUGAAACCAUGAGAGGCUCUGAAGAUGUUCGGAAUGGGGGACCUGGAAGUCCGUACCAGAACAUUCAAUUGCACUGACCCCAAAUCAGGUUCAAACUCUUGACAGAAGCAAAAAACACGAGGAUCCAUCAGCGAGCUCCGACUGCUACAGUAUCAGUCAAGAACCAGCCACAAACACUGUGUGAUCCAUCAGAGACACUCAACGACCGAAUGGAAACCAAUAAAAAGUUGCUGGUCAUUAAAAUAUUAUGACGAUUCAGAU